RNAcentral lists this ribosomal RNA (460 nucleotides) under uncultured bacterium. RNAcentral describes it as "partial 16S ribosomal RNA". It matches the Rfam family "Bacterial small subunit ribosomal RNA", at positions 338 to 795 of the family's 1533-position model. The record is from RNAcentral.
CCUACGGGUGGCAGCAGUGAGGCAUAUUGGUCAAUGGACGAGAGUCUGAACCAGCCAAGUAGCGUGAAGGAUGACUGCCCUAUGGGUUGUAAACUUCUUUUAUAUGGGAAUAAAAUGUUCCACGUGUGGGAUUUUGUAUGUACCAUAUGAAUAAGGAUCGGCUAACUCCGUGCCAGCAGCCGCGGUAAUACGGAGGAUCCGAGCGUUAUCCGGAUUUAUUGGGUUUAAAGGGAGCGUAGGUGGAUUGUUAAGUCAGUUGUGAAAGUUUGCGGCUCAACCGUAAAAUUGCAGUUGAAACUGGCAGUCUUGAGUACAGUAGAGGUGGGCGGAAGUCGUGGUGUAGCGGUGAAAUGCUUAGAUAUCACGAAGAACUCCGAUUGCGAAGGCAGUUCACUGGACUGCAACUGACACUGAGGCUCGAAAGUGUGGGUAUCAAACAGGAUUAGAUACCCGUGUAGUC